RNAcentral lists this ribosomal RNA (281 nucleotides) under Phaeoclavulina angustata. Its description in RNAcentral is "partial 25S large subunit ribosomal RNA". It matches the Rfam family "Eukaryotic large subunit ribosomal RNA", at positions 128 to 403 of the family's 3401-position model. Lineage: Eukaryota; Fungi; Basidiomycota; Agaricomycetes; Gomphales; Gomphaceae. The record is from RNAcentral.
UCUAAGGCCGUCCGAGUUGUAGUCUAGAGAAGUGUUUUCCGCGCUGGACCGUGUACAAGUCUCUUGGAACGGAGCGUCAUAGAGGGUGAGAAUCCCGUCUUUGACACGGACUACCAGUGCUUUGUGAUGCGCUCUCGAAGAGUCGAGUUGUUUGGGAAUGCAGCUCAAAAUGGGUGGUAAAUUCCAUCUAAAGCUAAAUAUUGGCGAGAGACCGAUAGCGAACAAGUACCGUGAGGGAAAGAUGAAAAGCACUUUGGAAAGAGAGUUAAACAGUACGUGAA